GACGAACGCUGGCGGCGUGCUUAACACAUGCAAGUCGAACGGAAAGGCCCUGCUUUUGUGGGGUGCUCGAGUGGCGAACGGGUGAGUAACACGUGAGUAACCUGCUCUUGACUUUGGGAUAACUUCAGGAAACUGGGGCUAAUACCGGAUAGGAGCUCCUGCUGCAUGGUGGGGGGUGGAAAGUUUCGGCGGUUGGGGAUGGACUCGCGGCUUAUCAGCUUGUUGGUGGGGUAGUGGCUUACCAAGGCUUUGACGGGUAGCCGGCCUGAGAGGGUGACCGGCAACAUUGGGACUGAGAUACGGCCCAGACUCCUACGGGAGGCAGCAGUGGGGAAUAUUGCACAAUGGGAGGAAGCCUGAUGCAGCAACGCCGCGUGCGGGAUGACGGCCUUCGGGUUGUAAACCGCUUUCGCCUGUGACGAAGCGUGAGUGACGGUAAUGGGUAAAGAAGCACCGGCUAACUACGUG
This 468-nucleotide ribosomal RNA is filed under the name uncultured bacterium. RNAcentral's name for it is "partial 16S ribosomal RNA". It matches the Rfam family "Bacterial small subunit ribosomal RNA", at positions 28 to 507 of the family's 1533-position model. The record is from RNAcentral.